This 249-nucleotide ribosomal RNA is filed under the name uncultured Lactobacillus sp. RNAcentral describes it as "partial 16S ribosomal RNA". It matches the Rfam family "Bacterial small subunit ribosomal RNA", at positions 113 to 354 of the family's 1533-position model. The record is from RNAcentral. Lineage: Bacteria; Bacillati; Bacillota; Bacilli; Lactobacillales; Lactobacillaceae.
CAACGUGGGUAACCUGCCCAAGAGAUCGGGAUAACACCUGGAAACAGAUGCUAAUACCGGAUAAUAACAGAUGAUGCCUAUCAACUGUUUAAAAGAUGGUUCUGCUAUCACUCUUGGAUGGACCUGCGGUGCAUUAGCUAGUUGGUAGGGUAACGGCCUACCAAGGCGAUGAUGCAUAGCCGAGUUUAGAGACUGAUCGGCCACAUUGGGACUGAGACACGGCCCAAACUCCUACGGGAGGCAGCAGGU